CAGUAGCCGCGGUAAUACAGAGGAUGCAAGCGUUAUUCGGAAUGAUUGGGCGUAAAGCGUCUGUAGGCAGCUUCUCAAGUCUGCCGUCAAAUCCCUGGGCUCAACCUUGGACAGGCAGUGGAAACUACCAAGCUGGAGUAUGGUAGGGGCAGAGGGAAUUUCCAGUGGAGCGGUGAAAUGCGUUGAGAUCGGAAAGAACACCAACGGCGAAAGCACUCUGCUGGGCCGACACUAACACUGAGGGACGAAAGCUAGGGGAGCAAAUGGGAUUAGAUACCCCAGUAGUCCCUGUCUCUUAUAC
RNAcentral lists this ribosomal RNA (301 nucleotides) under uncultured bacterium. RNAcentral's name for it is "partial 16S ribosomal RNA". It matches the Rfam family "Bacterial small subunit ribosomal RNA", at positions 509 to 807 of the family's 1533-position model. The record is from RNAcentral.